RNAcentral lists this ribosomal RNA (466 nucleotides) under uncultured bacterium. RNAcentral describes it as "partial 16S ribosomal RNA". It matches the Rfam family "Bacterial small subunit ribosomal RNA", at positions 28 to 507 of the family's 1533-position model. The record is from RNAcentral.
GAUGAACGCUGGCGGCGUGCUUAACACAUGCCAGUCGAACGAUGAAGCCCAGCUUGCUGGGUGGAUUAGUGGCGAACGAGUGAGUAACACGUGAGUAACCUGCCCUUAACUCUGGGAUAAGCCUGGGAAACUGGGUCUAAUACCGGAUAGGAGCGUCCACCGCAUGGUGGGUGUUGGAAAGAUUUAUCGGUUUUGGAUGGACUCGCGGCCUAUCAGCUUGUUGGUGAGGUAAUGGCUCACCAAGGCGACGACGGGUAGCCGGCCUGAGAGGGUGACCGGCCACACUGGGACUGAGACACGGCCCAGACUCCUACGGGAGGCAGCAGUGGGGAAUAUUGCACAAUGGGCGCAAGCCUGAUGCAGCGACGCCGCGUGAGGGAUGACGGCCUUCGGGUUGUAAACCUCUUUCAGUAGGGAAGAAGCGAAAGUGACGGUACCUGCAGAAGAAGCACCGGCUAACUACGUG